RNAcentral lists this ribosomal RNA (301 nucleotides) under uncultured bacterium. Its description in RNAcentral is "partial 16S ribosomal RNA". It matches the Rfam family "Bacterial small subunit ribosomal RNA", at positions 509 to 807 of the family's 1533-position model. The record is from RNAcentral.
CAGUAGCCGCGGGAAAACGAAGGGGGCUAGCGUUGUUCGGAUUUACUGGGCGUAAAGGGCGCGUAGGCGGACUGAUAAGUCAGGGGUGAAAUCCCAAGGCUCAACCUUGGAACUGCCUUUGAUACUGUUUGUCUUGAGUUCGAGAGAGGUAAGUGGAACUGCGAGUGUAGAGGUGAAAUUCGUAGAUAUUCGCAAGAACACCAGUGGCGAAGGCGGCUUACUGGCUCGAAACUGACGCUGAGGCGCGAAAGCGUGGGGAGCAAACAGGAUUAGAUACCCCAGUAGUCCCUGUCUCUUAUAC